This 614-nucleotide ribosomal RNA is filed under the name uncultured bacterium. RNAcentral describes it as "bacterial SSU rRNA". It matches the Rfam family "Bacterial small subunit ribosomal RNA", at positions 338 to 951 of the family's 1533-position model. The record is from RNAcentral.
CCUACGGGAGGCAGCAGUAAGGAAUAUUGGACAAUGCUCGCAAGAGUGAUCCAGCCAUGCCGCGUGCAGGAAGAAUGCCCUAUGGGUAGUAAACUGCUUUUGAACUAGAGAAAAUCCCAGUACGUGUACUGGGCUGAUAGUAUAGUUAGAAUAAGCAUCGGCUAACUUCGUGCCAGCAGCCGCGGUAAGACGAAGGAUGCAAGCGUUAUCCGGAUUCAUUGGGUUUAAAGGGAGCGUAGGUGGACUGAUAAGUCAGUGGUGAAAUCUCCGAGCUUAACUCGGAAAUUGCCAUUGAUACUGUUGGUCUUGAGUACAGUUGCUGUGGGCGGAAUAUGACAUGUAGUGGUGAAAUACAUAGAGAUGUCAUAGAACACCGAUUGCGAAGGCAGCUCACAAAGCUGUAACUGACACUGAGGCUCGAAAGUGCGGGGAUCAAGCAGGAUUAGAUACCCUGGUAGUCCGCACCGUAAACGAUGAUUACUCGCUGCUAGGGGGCAACCUUUAGUGGCUUAGCGAAAGCGAUAAGUAAUCCACCGUGGGAGUACGCCGGCGACGGUGAAACGUUAAAGGAAUUGAGGCUUGGAGACGNGCGAGGACGACGACGAGGGAGGAGG